This 74-nucleotide transfer RNA is filed under the name Candidatus Competibacteraceae bacterium. RNAcentral describes it as "tRNA-Gly". It matches the Rfam family "tRNA". From Rfam's summary of the family: Transfer RNA (tRNA) molecules are approximately 80 nucleotides in length. Lineage: Bacteria; Pseudomonadati; Pseudomonadota; Gammaproteobacteria; Candidatus Competibacteraceae. The record is from RNAcentral.
GCGGUGUUGAUGUUCAACGGCUAGCAUAUCAGCCUUCCACGCUGAAUGUAAGGGUUCGAAUCCCUUACGCCGCA